Molecule: ribosomal RNA, 684 nt
Filed under: uncultured Lachnospiraceae bacterium
Lineage: Bacteria; Bacillati; Bacillota; Clostridia; Lachnospirales; Lachnospiraceae
Description: bacterial SSU rRNA
Rfam family: Bacterial small subunit ribosomal RNA
Source: RNAcentral
UUUCUUCGGAUUGAAGUUUUUGUGACUGAGUGGCGGACGGGUGAGUAACGCGUGGGUAACCUGCCUCAUACAGGGGGAUAACAGUUAGAAAUGACUGCUAAUACCGCAUAAGCGCACAGUGCUGCAUGGCACAGUGUGAAAAACUCCGGUGGUAUGAGAUGGACCCGCGUCUGAUUAGCUAGUUGGUGGGGUAACGGCCUACCAAGGCGACGAUCAGUAGCCGGCCUGAGAGGGUGAACGGCCACAUUGGGACUGAGACACGGCCCAAACUCCUACGGGAGGCAGCAGUGGGGAAUAUUGCACAAUGGGGGAAACCCUGAUGCAGCGACGCCGCGUGAGCGAAGAAGUAUUUCGAUAUGUAAAGCUCUAUCAGCAGGGAAGAAAAUGACGGUACCUGACUAAGAAGCACCGGCUAAAUACGUGCCAGCAGCCGCGGUAAUACGUAUGGUGCAAGCGUUAUCCGGAUUUACUGGGUGUAAAGGGAGCGUAGACGGUUGUGUAAGUCUGAUGUGAAAGCCCGGGGCUCAACCCCGGGACUGCAUUGGAAACUAUGUAACUAGAGUGUCGGAGAGGUAAGCGGAAUUCCUAGUGUAGCGGUGAAAUGCGUAGAUAUUAGGAGGAACACCAGUGGCGAAGGCGGCUUACUGGACGAUCACUGACGUUGAGGCUCGAAAGCGUGGGGAG